RNAcentral lists this transfer RNA (57 nucleotides) under Dictyocaulus viviparus (bovine lungworm). It matches the Rfam family "tRNA", at positions 8 to 63 of the family's 71-position model. From Rfam's summary of the family: Transfer RNA (tRNA) molecules are approximately 80 nucleotides in length. Their secondary structure includes four short double-helical elements and three loops (D, anti-codon, and T loops). Further hydrogen bonds mediate the characteristic L-shaped molecular structure. tRNAs have two regions of fundamental functional importance: the anti-codon, which is responsible for specific mRNA codon recognition, and the 3' end, to which the tRNAs corresponding amino acid is attached (by aminoacyl-tRNA synthetases). tRNAs cope with the degeneracy of the genetic code in two manners: having more than one tRNA (with a specific anti-codon) for a particular amino acid; and 'wobble' base-pairing, i.e. permitting non-standard base-pairing at the 3rd anti-codon position. Lineage: Eukaryota; Metazoa; Nematoda; Chromadorea; Rhabditida; Metastrongylidae. The record is from Rfam by way of RNAcentral.
UGGUGUAAUGGUAAGCACGGCAGACCGGAUAUCUGUAAGUGCGGGUACGAGUCCCGC